CCUUGUGGAGCUAUGAUCCUUCUCAAAAGUCUGUAGCAACCUCAACAGACCAUGGUAGUUGACUACAGGCUUCAUCAUUCGAAAAUAACUGAGAAAUGAAGGUAGGAUUUGGGUAGGGAGUUUAGGAUCACAUCCUUCCCAAGCUGUUCGUACAAGAGAAAGUCGAGCUUGCUCAAUCGCUCGAUCUAUUCGAUCAUGAUCAGUGAUCGAUGCUUCCUCCAUCAUCCGAGCAUUGAAAAUGGCAUAACUAGUCUUAUGUCGCUCAACAUCGUCGGAAGUACCAAAAGACUCUCUCAAUACUUUGGGCAUAUCUUU
RNAcentral lists this long non-coding RNA (315 nucleotides) under Elaeis guineensis (African oil palm). RNAcentral's name for it is "long non-coding RNA (EGUI_LNC052795)". Lineage: Eukaryota; Viridiplantae; Streptophyta; Magnoliopsida; Arecales; Arecaceae. The record is from RNAcentral.